RNAcentral lists this ribosomal RNA (301 nucleotides) under uncultured bacterium. Its description in RNAcentral is "partial 16S ribosomal RNA". It matches the Rfam family "Bacterial small subunit ribosomal RNA", at positions 509 to 809 of the family's 1533-position model. The record is from RNAcentral.
CAGCAGCCGCGGUAAUACGUAGGGUGCGAGCGUUAAUCGGAAUUACUGGGCGUAAAGCGUGCGCAGGCGGUUAUAUAAGACAGAUGUGAAAUCCCCGGGCUCAACCUGGGACCUGCAUUUGUGACUGUAUAGCUAGAGUACGGUAGAGGGGGAUGGAAUUCCGCGUGUAGCAGUGAAAUGCGUAGAUGUGCGGAGGAACACCGAUGGCGAAGGCAAUCCCCUGGACCUGUACUGACGCUCAUGCACGAAAGCGUGGGGAGCAAACAGGAUUAGAUACCCCCGUAGUCCCUGUCUCUUAUAA